CCUACGGGUGGCAGCAGUGAGGAAUAUUGGUCGAUGGACGAGAGUCUGAACCAGCCAAGUAGCGUGAAGGAUGACUGCCCUAUGGGUUGUAAACUUCUUUUAUAUGGGAAUAAAAUGUUCCACGUGUGGGAUUUUGUAUGUACCAUAUGAAUAAGGAUCGGCUAACUCCGUGCCAGCAGCCGCGGUAAUACGGAGGAUCCGAGCGUUAUCCGGAUUUAUUGGGUUUAAAGGGAGCGUAGGUGGAUUGUUAAGUCAGUUGUGAAAGUUUGCGGCUCAACCGUAAAAUUGCAGUUGAAACUGGCAGUCUUGAGUACAGUAGAGGUGGGCGGAAUUCGUGGUGUAGCGGUGAAAUGCUUAGAUAUCACGAAGAACUCCGAUUGCGAAGGCAGUUCACUGGACUGCAACUGACACUGAGGCUCGAAAGUGUGGGUAUCAAACAGGAUUAGAUACCCGAGUAGUC
RNAcentral lists this ribosomal RNA (460 nucleotides) under uncultured bacterium. Its description in RNAcentral is "partial 16S ribosomal RNA". It matches the Rfam family "Bacterial small subunit ribosomal RNA", at positions 338 to 795 of the family's 1533-position model. The record is from RNAcentral.